Molecule: long non-coding RNA, 8358 nt
Filed under: Triticum aestivum (bread wheat)
Lineage: Eukaryota; Viridiplantae; Streptophyta; Magnoliopsida; Poales; Poaceae
Description: long non-coding RNA (TAES_LNC019529)
Source: RNAcentral
ACUAAGCAAAGUUCAAUAUGUGAAAAGCUCGUAGGCAAUGGGUCAAUGAUGGAUAAUUAUGUCGGAUGGCAUUCAUCAUGCAACAGUUAUAACCUAGGGUGACACAGAACUAGCUCCAAUUCAUCAAUAUAAUGUAGGCAUGUAUUCCGAAUAUAGUCAUACGUGCUUAUGGAAAAGAACUUGCAUGAGAUCUUUUGUCCUACCCUCCCGUGGCAGCGGGGUCCUAUUGGAAACUAAGGGAUAUUAAGACCUCAUUUUAAUAGAGAACCGGACCAAAGCAUUAGCACUUAGUGAAUACAUGAACUCCUCAAACUACGGACAUCACCGGGAAGUGUCCCGACUAUUGUCACUCCGGGGUUGCCGGAUCAUAACACGUUGUAGGUGACUAUAACUCGCAAGAUCGGAUCAAGAACACAAAUAUAUUCAUGAAAACAUAAAGGGUUCAUAUCUGAAUUCAUGCCACUCGGGCCCUAGUGACAAGCAUUAAGCAUAGCAAAGUCAUAGCAACAUCAAUCUUAGAACAUAGUGGAUACUAGGGAUCAAACCCUAACAAAACUAACUCGAUUACAUGGUAAAUCUCAUCCAACCCAUCACCGUCCAGCAAGCCCACGAUGGAAUUACUCACGCACGACGGUGAGCAUCAUGAAAUUGGUGAUGGAGGAUGGUUGAUGAUGAUGACGGCGAUAAUUUCCCCUCUCCGGAGCCCAAAACGGACUCCAGAUCUGCCCUCCCGAGGAAGAACAGGAGGUGGCAGCGACUCCAUAUCGUAAAACGCGAUGAAUCCUUCUCUCUGAUUUUUUUCUCCCUGAACGUGAAUAUAUAUAGUUAGAGUUGAGGUCGGUGGAGCUUCGUGGGACCAUGCAAGCCAGGGGGCGCACCCAGGGGGUAGGGCGUGCCCCCCACCCUUGUGGACAGGUGGUGGGUCCCCCUCUGUUGAUUCUUUCGCCAAUACUUUUUAUUAAUUCCAAAAAUAUUCUCCAUGAAGUUUCAUGUCAUUCCGAGAACUUCUAUUCCUGCACAAAAAUAACACCAUGGCAAUUCUGCUGAAAACAGCGUCAGUCCGGGUUAGUUCCAUUCAAAUCAGGCAAAUUAGAGUCCAAAACAAGGGCACAAGAGUUUGGAAAAGUAGAUACGAUGGAGACGUAUCAACUCCCCUAAGCUUAACCCAUUGCUUGUCCUCAAGCAAUUCCGUUGACAAACUGAAAGUGAAAAAGAAAAACUUUUACAAACUUUGUUUGAUCUUAUUGUUGCAAAUAUGUAAAGCCAGCAUUCAAGUUUUCAGCAAAGAUUAUGAACUAACCAUAUUCACAAUAACUUUUAGGUCUCACAUUUACUCAUAUCAAUGGCAUAAUCAACUAACGAGCAAUAAUAAUAAAUCUCGGCUGACAACACUUUUUCAAAACAAUCAUGAUAUGAUAUAACAAGAUGGUAUCUCGCUAGCCCUUUCUGAGACCGCAAAACAUAAAUGCAGAGCACCCCUGAAGAUCAAGGACUGACUAGACAUUGUAAUUCAUGAAAAAAUAGAUCCAGUCACAGUCAUACUCAAUAUCAAUUAAUAACAAUGCAUACAAAUGACAGUGGUGCUCUCUAACUGGUGCUUUUUAUAAGAGGAUGAUGACUCAACAAUAAAAGUAAAUAGAUAGGCCCUUCGCAAAGGGAAGCAGGGAUUUAUAGAGGUGCCAGAGAGCGAGUUUUUAAAACAGAGGUGAAUAAUAUUUUGAGCGGUAUACUUUCAUUGUCAACAUAACAACCAAGAGAUCUCGGUAUCUUCCAUACUAGAUACAUUAUAGGCGGUUCCCAAACAGAAUGGUAAAGUUUAUACUCCCCCACCACCAACAAGCACAUUCCACGGCUGGUCCGAAACAACGGGUACCGUCCAACUAACAACAGUCCUGGGGGAGUUUUGUUUGCAGUUAUUUUGAUUUGAUUUGAGCAUGGGACUGGGCAUCCCGGUAACCAGCCAUUUUCUCAUGAAUGAUGAGCGGCGUCCACUCAUCGUGAGAAUAACCCACCUAACAUGGAAGAUAUUGACAGCCCCUAGUCGCUACAUGAGCGAUUCGGGCAUACAAAACAGAUUAUUAUUUGAAGGUUUAGAGUUUGGCACAUGCAAAUUUACUUGGAAUGGCAGGUAAAUACCGCAUAUAGGUAGGUAUGGUGGACUCUCAUGGAACAACUUUGGGUUUAUGGAAGUGGAUGCACAAGCAGUAUUCCCGCUUAGUACAAGUGAAGGCUACAAAAAGACUGGGAAGCAACCAACUAGAGAGAAACAACAGUCAUAAACAUCCUUUAAGAUUAAUCAACACUGAGUGCAAGCAUGAGUAGGAUAUAAAUCACCAUGAACAUAAAUAUCGUGGAGGCUAUGUUGAUUUUGUUUCAACUACAUGCGUGAACAUGUGCCAAGUCAAGCCACUCGAAUCAUUCAAAGGAGGAUACCAUCCUAUCAUACUACAUCACAACCAUUUUAAAAGCAUGUUGGCUCGCAAGGGAAACCAUGAUAAACUCCUAGAUCAUUAAGCAUGCAAUGAUUGACUAUAAUCUCUAAUUGUCAUUGCAAACAUGUUUCAUUCGUAAUGGGCUGAAUCAAGAACAAUGAACUAAUCAUAUUUACAAAAACAAGAUAGGUCGAGUUCAUACCAGCUUUUCCUCAUCUCAAUCAUUUCAUCAUAUAUCAUCAUUAUUGCCUUUCACUUGCACGACCGGACGGUGUGAAUAAUAGUAAUAGUGCACAUGCAUUGGACUAAGCUGGAAUCUGCAAACAUUUAUUCAAAGGAGAAGACAAGGUAAUAUGGGCUAUUUGUUAGAUCAACAAUAAUGCAUAUGAGAGCCAUUCAACAUUUUCAUCGUGGUCUUCUCCUCUUGACCCCCAAAGAAAAGAAAAGAAUUUCAAAGAAAUGCACUGAAAUGUUUUUGGAGUUUUUGUUUUUCUAAAGAAAGUAAAACAAGAACGAGAAAAACUAUUUACACGGGAAAGCUCCCAACAAGCAAAAUAAGAAUGAGAAAUCUUUUUGGGUUUUCUUUUAGUACUACUACUAAGUAAUCAUGGAAAGUAAACUAAACUACAACUAAUGUUUUUGGUUUUUUCUCAAAGUUUUUCAAACACACAAGAAGAAAGCGAGAAAAAGUAAUAAACUAACAUGGAUAAUACAAUGAAAAAGUAUGAACACCGACAAAUGGAAUAAGUGUGUGAACAUGAAUGUGAUGUCGGUGAGAAAUACGUACUCCCUCAAGCUUAGGCUUUUGGCCUAAGUUGGUCUAGGGCCAUGACUGGCCCAGAUUGAAUCCGAAAUCAUAGUUGGGGUUGUACUGUGCUGCGGCAGCUACCGCCUGGCGAGCUGCUUCAUGGAGGUGAGCGGCCUCCGCUGUUCUCUCAUACUCGUUUGCCUCCUCUCUAGUUAUAAAAUAUCUCCCAUUUACCUGAAAGUUAAAGAAGGAAGGAGCAGGAAGGUUAAUAUGGACAACACACCGUCUGUCAAAGAUUAGUCGAUAUUGAAGGGAUUGUUCAUUCCUCUCAAGAAACUGGUAGCGUACCAUAGCAUUAUAAUCUAGAAAAGCAGGUGGUAACUCAAUGUCAUUCCCUCUUAUGGGUACACCAGGAUAAUUAGCUAAACGAGUUGCAUAAAUCCCACCAAAUAAAUCUCCAUCUUUAGCAUUAAGAUCUAACCUCCUCUCAAUAAUGGCCCCCAAGUUAUAUCGCUUGUCACCUAACACCGCACACUUGAGGACACUAAGAUCUGGAACGCAAAGGUGGCAAUGCUCAUGCUUACCAUUAAUGCAUCUACCUAUAAAGAGAGGAAAAUAAUGUAUGGCAGGAAAGUGAAUGCUCCCUAUGGUAGCUUGUGUGAUAUUCCUAGUUUCUCCCACAGUGAUGCUAGCAAGGAACCCAUUGUAUUCAGCUUUGUCAGGCUCGAAAUGAAUGCCCCAUUGUGGGAUUUUGCAUGCAGUAUUAAAAUCUUCAAGGUCGAUGGUAUAUGAUUCAUCAUAAAGAUCAAAUAAAACAGUAUGGGUAUUGCGCUUAGAUGAAAAUUUGAACCUCCACACAAAGGAAUCAGUGAGGAAAUAGUAUUGUCGGCACUUAUCGGACACGAAGUCCUCAAGGACGGCAUUUUGUAUGUAUGCAUCAAACUCAUCCUUGGAACCUGCAUGGACCAUGAAUUCAUCCGACGGCCAUUCACAAGGCUGCACUUGAGCUUCCCUUGGUGGUUCAAGGUCCGGGUCACGUAUCGCGAGCCUCGGUGCUUGCUUCCUCGAAGAACCACCUUGGUACAUUUUCCUAGACAUUUUUCUUCCUCUGAAUUUUUUUUUGAAAUUUUUAGUGACUCGAAAUAAAAGUGAACCAAACUCAACAAGAUUGAUAGCAACUACUCUUACAAGUAUCUAGAGGCUAUAUCAUGCAUCAAAACUACUUUGGACCAUAUAAAUUUGACAUGCAAGCUCAAGAACAAGGUCACCACAACAACAAACAUUUGCAAUAAAUAAAGAACUAGAACAAAAACUAAUUGGACCAUUGGAGGAGUCACAUACCGAAGAACAAUCCCCCAAAACAGUUUUGCAAAUGGAGCUUUGCACAAGGAGAUUGAAAAUGGCAGCAAGAUGAGCUAGGACACGGGUUUGAGAUACAUGAUGAUUUUUUCUGGAGGAAGACGAAGUGGAUGGGUGCUGGAAUAAGUGAAGGGGACCCACGUGGGGCCCACAAGGCAGGGGGCGCCCAUGGGGGUAGGGCGCGCCCUCCACCCUUGUGGCCCACUGGUGCAUCCCCCGGUGCAAGUUCAGUGCCAGAAAUUCUCAAAUAUUCUAUAAAAAAUCAUACUAAAUUUUCAGGGCAUUUGGAGAACUUCCAUUUUGGGGACAUUUUUUAUUUCACGGAUAAUUUAGAAAAUACUAUUUUUGCUUUAUUUAUUCUAAAUAACAGAAAGUAAAAGGUGGGUACAGAAGGUUGUGCUUUCUAAAUUCAUCCAUCUCAUGCCCACCAAAAGGAAUCCAUUAACAAGGUUGAUCAAGUCUUAUUAACAAACUUCUUUCAAAUAACAUGGAACCGGAGAAUUUUUCUAAUAACACUAAGUUACCUCAACGGGGAUAUGCAUGUCCCCAACAAUAAGAAUAUCAUAUUUCUUUUUGACAAUGGGAAGAGGGAAUUCAAAACCUCCAAUAGUAAUAGUUGAAAUUUUUCCAAUAGAAUUAAUACUAUGAACUUGAGGUUGUUUCUUCGGAAAGUGUACCGUAUGCUCAUUACCAUUAACAUGAAAAGUGACAUUGCCUUUGUUGCAAUCAAUAACAGCCCGUGCAGUAUUCAAAAAGGGUCUACCAAGAAUGAUCGACAUACUGUCAUCCUCGGGAAUAUCAAGAAUAACAAAGUCUGUUAAGAUAGUAAUGUUUGCAACCACAACAGGCACAUCCUCACAAAUACCGAUGGGUAUAGCAAUUGAUUUAUCAGCCAUUUGCAAAGAGAUUUCAGUAGGUGUCAACUUAUUCAAUUCAAGUAUACGGUAUAAAGAGGAAGGCAUAACGCUAACACUGGCUCCAAGAUCACAUAAAGCAGUUUUAACAUAGUUUCUUUUAAUGGAGCAUGGUAUAGUUGGUACUCCUGGAUCUCCAAGUUUAUUUAGUAUUCCACCCUUAAAAGUAUAAUUAGCAAGCAUGGUGGAAAUUUCAGCUUCCGGUAUCUUUCUUUUAUUAGUGACAAUAUCUUUCAUAUACCUAGCAUAAGGAGGCAUUUUAAGCAUAUCAGUCAAACGCAUAUGCAAAAAGAUAGGUCUAAUCAUUUCAGCAAAGCGCUCAAAAUCCUCAUCAUCGUUUUUCUUGGAUGGCUUAGGAGGAAAGGGCAUGGGUUUCUGAACCCAUGGUUCUCUUUCUUUACCAUGUUUCCUAGCAACAAAGUCUCUCUUAUCAUAACGUUGAUUCUUUGAUUGUGGGUUAUCAAGACCAACAGCAGGUUCAAUCUCUACAUCAUUAUUAUUACUAGGUUGAGCAUCAACAUGAACAUCUUCAUUAACAUUAUCACUAGGUUCAUGUUCAUCACCAGAUUGUGUCUCAGCAUCAGAAAUAGAAAUAUCAUUAGGAUUCUCAAGUGUAUCUACAACAUGUUCACUAGAAGCAUGCAAAGUCCUAUCAGUUUUCUUCUUCUUUUUAUUACUAGGACUAGGUGCAUCAGUAUUAAUUCUCUGAGAAUCUUGCUCAACUAUCUUAGGAUGACCCUCAGGAUACAAAGGUUCCCGAGUCAUAUUACCACCUCUAGUCAUAAUCCUAACAACAUUAUCAUUGUUCUUACUAUUCAAUUCAUUAAGCAAAUCAUCCUGUGCCUUAAGUACUUGUUCUACUUGAGUUGUAACCAUGGAAGCAUGUUUACUAAUAAGUUUAAGAUCAUUAAUAGUUCUACUCAUAUAAUCACCCAGGUAGUCAAGCAUGUAAGCAUUACGUUUCAAUUGUCUACUAACAUAAGCAUUAAAGUUUUCUUGCUUAACAAUAAAAUUAUCAAACUCAUCCAAGCAUUGACUAGCAGACUUAUUAUGAGGAAUGUCACCUUGAUCACAUCUAUAAAGAGAAUUUACCUCUACUACCUGUGUUGGGUUAUCAAGACCAUGUAUUUCUUCAAUAGGCAGUAGGUUCUUAACAUCCUCAGCUUUAAUACCUUUUUCUUUCAUAGAUUUCUUUGCCUCUUGCAUAUCUUCAGGACUGAGAAAUAGAAUACCUCUCUUCUUCAGAGUUGGCUUAGGAGUUAGUUCAGGAAGUGUCCAAUCAUUAUCAUUACUCAGUAUAUUAUUCAAUAGCAAUUCAGCUUGCUCAACAGUUCUUUCCCUGAAAACACAACCAGCACAACUAUCCAGGUGGUCUCUGGAAGCAUCGGUUAGUCCAUUAUAGAAGAUAUCAAGUAUUUCAUUUUUCUUGAGAGGAUGAUCAUGCAAAUCAUGAAGUAAUAGGAGAAGCCUCCCCCAAGCUUAUGGGAGACUCUCUUCUUCAAUUUGCACAAAGUUAAAUAUUUUCUUUAAGGCAGCUUGUUUCUCAUGAGCAAGGAAAUAUUUUUCCAGAGAAGUAGUAAAUCAUAUCCUGGGGACUACGCACACAACCAGGAGUAAGAGAAUUAAACCAUAUAUUAGCAUCACCCUUUAAUGAGAAAGGAAACAACUUAAGAAUAUGAUAAUAACGAAUUUUUUCCUCAUGAGAAAAUAGGGUGGCUAUAUCAUUCAAUUUAGUAAGAUGUGCCACAACAGUUUCAGAUUCAUAACCAUAGAAAGGAUCAGAUUCAACCAAAGUAAUUAACUCGGGAUCAACCGAGAAUUCAUAAUCCUUAUCAGUAACACAGAUAGAUGAAGUAGCAAACUUAGGAUCAUAUUGCAUUCUAGCAUUCAAAGACUUUUCUUUCAGCUUAGCUAACAGAUUUUUAAGAUCAUCUCUAUCAUUGCAAGCAAAAAAGUCUCUAGCAGUUUCUUCAUCCAUAAUAUAACCCUCAGGUACAACAGGCAAUUCAUAUCUAGGGAGAGAAUCAUCAUCUUUAGUUUCAAUAAUAUCACCAGUUUCAGUAAUUUCAUUCUCUCUAACCCUAGCAAGUUGUUCAUCAAGAAAUUCACCUAGUGGCACAGUAUUAUCAAGCAAAGAAGUAGUAUCAUCAUGAGCAUCAUGCAUAGCAGAAGUGGCAUCAUCAAUAACAUGUGACAUAUCAGAAUCAAUAGCAGGUGUAGGUGUCGCAAGUUUACUCAAAACAGAAGGUGAAUCAAGUGCAGAGCUAGAUGGCAGUUCCUUACCUCCCCUCGUAGUAGAGGGAUAGAUCUUGGUUUUGUUAUCUUUCAGAUUCCUCAUAGUGAUCAACAGAUAUAAAUCCCAAGUGACUCAGAGAAUAGAGCUAUGCUCCUCGGCAACGGCGCCAGAAAAAGGUCUUGAUAACCCACAAGUACAGGGAUCGCAAUAGUUUUCGAGGGUAGAGUAUUCAACCCAAAUUUAUUGAUUCGACACAAGGGGAGCCAAAGAAUAUUCUCAAGUAUUAGCACCUGAGUUGUCAAUUCAACCACACCUGAAAGACUUAAUAUCUGCAGCAAAGUAUCUGGUAGCAGAGUAGUAUGAAAGUAACGGUGAUUGUGGCAAAAGUAACAGCAGUAGUUUUGUAGCAAUUGUAAAAGUGGCAACAGAAAAGCAACUAAGCAAAGAUCAAUAUGUGAAAAGCUCGUAGGCAAUGGGUCAAUGAUGGAUAAUUAUGUCGGAUGGCAUUCAUCAUGCUACAGUUAUAACCUAGGGAGACACAGAACUAGCUCCAAUUCAUCAAUAUAAUGUAGGCAUGUAUUCCGAAUAUAGUCAUACGUGCUUAUGGAAAAGAACUUGCAUGAAAUCUAUUGUCCUACCCUCCCGUGGCAGCGGGGUCCUAUUGGAAAC